Molecule: long non-coding RNA, 2438 nt
Organism: Gadus chalcogrammus (walleye pollock)
Lineage: Eukaryota; Metazoa; Chordata; Actinopteri; Gadiformes; Gadidae
Exons: 5
Source: RefSeq, a predicted model, not a curated record
GUGCUUGUGCUCUCUUUCGAUGUGGUUUAUUGGGCCUGUCUCGAGAGACCACCAUGGUGUACCUUAGUUUGGCCAAAUAGAGCUUAUGUAGCCCACACGCGUCUCGUGGCUAUAAUUAGAACUGAAACUCGAGACUGCCCCGAAGGGCGGGACCUCCCCGGCUUGGUCCGCCAGGCUUAUAAGAGCGCGGGAUCCUUGGGACUGGUUUGGCACAAGACUUUCCGACCAGGACACAUACAAAAUUUAGCCAGUAAGUAUUAACGAUAAAUUGAGUCUUUAAUUGUGUGUCUAAGGUGAAAAUAUACGUAAACAAAUCACAACAAGUUCUACCACAAAAUUUUGUGUGUGUGUUUAUCAUGUUGUAAGUUAGCGUUGUUUGAAAAUAAAACUGAACACAAUAUAACUGUAUGGUUGUUUUCAUGGAGAACGUAUAUGACUUCCCCGUUUGGUACGACCGAACAAUGAGACUAAUUAUUGUACGCUUUGAAUAUAUCUUAUCCCAUAAAGGUAUCCAGGGCAUCUCAGUGCGAUCUCAGUGCUUCUUGUGCGAUUUAAGGAAGAUGAUGGUCUAAAAUGGGUUAUCGACCAGAAACCACAAGGACUACUAUACCUGUUGUCUUUCUCUGAGGCCCCACACAUCCAUUCAGAGGAAUAUGCAACUAAAUGAUAAAGCCCGAUGAUAAACUACUGAUCAUGGGGAGACACAGAAUUUGAUCUUCACAGGGACCCCCAACCUCCCCUCCACCCAGUGCUCCAUCGCCCCCAGAGGGUCACCUGACGAAGGGUCUGGAGAUGGCGAGGACCGUGCGGAUGAACCAGGACGGGUGGGCGAUGAUCAGACACUUGAGGUUCUUCCGUAACCUGCGUGCGCACGGGAAGAAGACAUGAAGCACUUCCUGAACCAGCUGAUCCCGGGCAUCUUGCGGCGGGGAGUGGCUCCAUUCAGGUAGGGUCUGAUGGUCUGCAUGUCUAUCCUGUGCUCCUGGUCCCCGAUGACCACGGACCUCCACAGCCGCCCGCUGGCGUCCCUCUCCUCCUCCCCGUCACUGUCCCCUGGGAGCCGCUUGGCCGUGGCCACGGGGGUGUCGUCUGGGGGCCCCGGGAGAAGCACAACGAUCACAGGUCGUUGCCGUUGCUGUUGUCCAGCGAAUCGGUGUCGUUGGGCGUUUCCAUGGCGUCCACGUCCAGGUCGUCCAGGGAUGCCUCGCUGGGGUCCAGGGAUAGCUUCAUGUGGGGCGCCACCAGGGUGCGCCGCUUGCCCUGCCCAGCGGAGUCCCCCAGCUUCAGGGAGCUGGGGGGGUCUGAGGGGGUCACCAGAGAAAACGGUCUUAGAAGAGCCAAAUUGAAGUUGACAUAAUUAUCAUUAAACUUUUUUAUGCAGGUUGGUGUUUCUGAGCGGUUAGGCUAGACAGGCUGAUAACCUUGUCCUAUUUCCUUUUCUGGCAUUUCAUUAUCUUCUCUGAUUGUAGGGAAUUAUGAAAAACAUAUGAUGUGUUUCCUCUACGUGAAUGGUAUCCUUGAUUGCUAUGCUAAUCGAUUUCCCUACACAGUCAUUUUAAUGUGCUGUAAAGCGUUGAUAUAAAUAAUGUCAUAUUAUAAGCCUACUAUCGUCCAACUGAACUGACUUGUUCUGUGGUCAGUGAGGCCGUAUGAUGACUCAACGUCGCCAUCUUCUGGCAGUGGUCUGAAAAGAACAACAGUAACAGGAAAGUCAUAAAGAUGUACAUAUACUAGACGGGUAGAUGCUAUUGACUGAAGAUUAAAUGGCUUGAAGCUUGAUUGAGUCGUUAUUUUGCCUUGUUUUUUUCCAAUGUACAAAAAAAGUAUUACGAUCCAUGCAGAAUGUCUCUAUCCCUUGGCACACAGAGGUGCAGUUGUGGUUUAAAUUGUGUAUCAAAGUACUAUGGAUGUCGUGAGAGAAAGCAGCCUCUGUAAUUACCAGCCCUGACAAUGAUGUUGUAAUUACACGGAUAAAUGCUGGCUGCUAUGCAACAAGCCCAGACACAGUACACACACACGGGUAAGGAGGGCAAACGAUCGCCUGAAGUCAGGACUGCUUUUUUGUUGUCUGAUGGUAAUUGCAGUGAUUAUGUUGCCAGUAAAAUUGACAGAGAGGAGGGGAGCAGGCCUGGAUAACUAUAUUAGGUGCUGGAAAAAGCAUAAAGGCUUAAGCCAACACACUGAAAUACAAAAGCCAAAACGGCAAUACAGUAUUUAUAUAUAUUUAGCGGCAGGCAAGAUUGUAAUGUUAAAAUGUAGUAAUCUGCCUGCAGGGAAACUAUUCAAAACUAUAAAUAGACACACACAUAUAGAGCCAUACUCUGUGUGAGUCACCCACGCACAAGGCACACAGAUUUAUGUAUAAAAUAAUCCGCCCCAUGUGAGUGACUCAGAGCAGGCACCAAUUUACACAGACUCUCACUGCAGUGGAGAAAUAG